GAUGAAGAACGUAGCGAAAUGCGAUAAGUAGUGUGAAUUGCAGAAUUCAGUGAAUCAUCGAAUCUUUGAACGCACAUUGCGCCCCUUGGUAUCCCGAGGGGCAUGCCUGUUCGAGCGUCAUUUCACCACUCAAGCCUGGCCUGGUGUUGGGCGACGUCCCCUUUGGGGACGCGCCUCGAAACGCUCGGCGGCGUGGCACCGGCUUUAAGCGUAGCAGAAUCUUUCGCUUUGGAAGUCGGGGCCCCGUCUGCCGGAAGACCUACUCGCAAGGUUGACCUCGGAUCAGGCAGGGAUACCCGCUGAACUUAAGCAUAUCAAUAAGCGGAGGA
This 329-nucleotide unclassified non-coding RNA is filed under the name soil metagenome. Its description in RNAcentral is "partial contains 5.8S ribosomal RNA, internal transcribed spacer 2, and large subunit ribosomal RNA". The stretch from base 1 to 120 matches the Rfam family "5.8S ribosomal RNA", at positions 35 to 154 of the family's 154-position model. The record is from RNAcentral.